GAUGAACGCUAGCGAUAGGCUUAACACAUGCAAGUCGAGGGGCAGCAUGGUCUUAGCUUGCUAAGGCUGAUGGCGACCGGCGCACGGGUGCGUAACGCGUAUGCAACUUGCCUCACAGAGGGGGAUAACCCGUCGAAAGACGGACUAAUACCGCGUACACUCUAUGUUGGGCAUCCAAUGUAGAGGAAAUGAAAUUCGCUGUGAGAUAGGCAUGCGUCCCAUUAGCUAGUUGGUGAGGUAACGGCUCACCAAGGCGACGAUGGGUAGGGGAACUGAGAGGUUGACCCCCCACACUGGUACUGAGACACGGACCAGACUCCUACGGGAGGCAGCAGUGAGGAAUAUUGGGCGAUGGGCGAGAGCCUGAACCAGCCAAGUCGCGUGAAGGAUGACUGGGUUAGGGAUGGUAAACUUCUUUUAUACGGGAAUAGCAAGAGUCACGUGUGGCUCCCUGCAUGUACCGUAUGAAUAAGCAUCGGCUAACUCCGUG
RNAcentral lists this ribosomal RNA (490 nucleotides) under uncultured bacterium. Its description in RNAcentral is "partial 16S ribosomal RNA". It matches the Rfam family "Bacterial small subunit ribosomal RNA", at positions 28 to 507 of the family's 1533-position model. The record is from RNAcentral.